GACAGAGGUGGCGAGCGUUGUUCGGAAUCACUGGGUUUAAAGAGCACGUAGGCGGCUGGGCGUGUCCGGUGUGAAAGCCCCCGGCUCAACCGGGGAACUGCGCCGGAAACUACCCGGCUCGAGGGCAGGAGAGGAGAGUGGAACUCCAGGUGUAGCGGUGAAAUGCGUAGAUAUCUGGAGGAACGCCGGAGGCGAAAGCGACUCUCUGGACUGUCCCUGACGCUGUGGUGCGAAAGCCAGGGGAGCGAAC
RNAcentral lists this ribosomal RNA (250 nucleotides) under uncultured bacterium. RNAcentral describes it as "partial 16S ribosomal RNA". It matches the Rfam family "Bacterial small subunit ribosomal RNA", at positions 524 to 773 of the family's 1533-position model. The record is from RNAcentral.